GAUGAACGCUGGCGGCGCGCCUAACACAUGCAAGUCGAACGAUUAAAGCACCUUCGGGUGUGUAUAAAGUGGCGAACGGCUGAGUAACACGUGGGCAACCUGCCCCUCUCAUUGGGAUAGCCACGGGAAACCGUGGAUAAUACCGAAUACUUCGGGACUUCCGCAUGGAAGACUCGAGCAAGCUCCGGCGGAGAGGGAUGGGCCCGCGGCCUGUUAGCUUGUUGGUGGGGUAAUGGCCUACCAAGGCAAUGAUGGGUAGCUGGGUUGAGAGACCGACCAGGCAGAUUGGGACUGAGACACGGCCCAGACUGCUACGGGGGGCAGCAGUGGGGAAUCUUGCACAGUGGGCGAAAGCCUGAUGCAGCGACGCCGCGUGCGGGAUGAAGGCCUUCGGGUUGUAAACCGCGUUCAGCAGGGACGAGGCGAAAGUGACGGUACCUGCAGAAGAAGCCCCGGCUAACUACGUG
RNAcentral lists this ribosomal RNA (467 nucleotides) under uncultured bacterium. Its description in RNAcentral is "partial 16S ribosomal RNA". It matches the Rfam family "Bacterial small subunit ribosomal RNA", at positions 28 to 507 of the family's 1533-position model. The record is from RNAcentral.